RNAcentral lists this ribosomal RNA (418 nucleotides) under bacterium 14S411. RNAcentral describes it as "bacterial SSU rRNA". It matches the Rfam family "Bacterial small subunit ribosomal RNA", at positions 1044 to 1457 of the family's 1533-position model. The record is from RNAcentral.
CUUGGCUGGUUUGAGCUCGUGUCGUGAGAUGUUGGGUUAAGUCCCGCAACGAGCGCAACCCUUUUCCUUAUUUGCCAGCGGGUUAAGCCGGGAACUUUAAGGAUACUGCCAGUGACAAACUGGAGGAAGGCGGGGACGACGUCAAGUCAUCAUGGCCCUUACGACCAGGGCUACACACGUGCUACAAUGGUCGGUACAAAGGGUUGCUACCUAGCGAUAGGAUGCUAAUCUCAAAAAGCCGAUCGUAGUCCGGAUUGGAGUCUGCAACUCGACUCCAUGAAGUCGGAAUCGCUAGUAAUCGCGGAUCAGAAUGCCGCGGUGAAUACGUUCCCGGGCCUUGUACACACCGCCCGUCACACCAUGGGAAUUUGUUGCACCAGAAGUAGGUAGUCUAACCGCAAGGAGGACGCUACUCUCC